GCGAAGGUGGCGGAAUUGGUAGACGCGCUAGCUUCAGGUGUUAGUGUUCUUACGGACGUGGGGGUUCAAGUCCACCCUUUCGCAUCA
RNAcentral lists this transfer RNA (87 nucleotides) under Escherichia coli 1-392-07_S3_C2. Its description in RNAcentral is "tRNA-Leu". It matches the Rfam family "tRNA". Rfam says of the family: Transfer RNA (tRNA) molecules are approximately 80 nucleotides in length. Their secondary structure includes four short double-helical elements and three loops (D, anti-codon, and T loops). Lineage: Bacteria; Pseudomonadati; Pseudomonadota; Gammaproteobacteria; Enterobacterales; Enterobacteriaceae. The record is from RNAcentral.